UACGAAGGGGGCUAGCGUUGCUCGGAAUCACUGGGCGUAAAGGGUGCGUAGGCGGGUCUUUAAGUCAGGGGUGAAAUCCUGGAGCUCAACUCCAGAACUGCCUUUGAUACUGAGGAUCUUGAGUUCGGGAGAGGUGAGUGAAACUGCGAGUGUAGAGGUGAAAUUCGUAGAUAUUCGCAGGAACACCAGUGGCGAAGGCGGCUCACUGGCCCGAUACUGACGCUGAGGCACGAAAGCGUGGGGAGCAAACAGG
This 253-nucleotide ribosomal RNA is filed under the name uncultured bacterium. Its description in RNAcentral is "partial 16S ribosomal RNA". It matches the Rfam family "Bacterial small subunit ribosomal RNA", at positions 524 to 776 of the family's 1533-position model. The record is from RNAcentral.